This 364-nucleotide RNase P RNA is filed under the name Gammaproteobacteria bacterium. RNAcentral describes it as "RNase P RNA component class A". It matches the Rfam family "Bacterial RNase P class A". Rfam says of the family: Ribonuclease P (RNase P) is a ubiquitous endoribonuclease, found in archaea, bacteria and eukarya as well as chloroplasts and mitochondria. Its best characterised activity is the generation of mature 5'-ends of tRNAs by cleaving the 5'-leader elements of precursor-tRNAs. The record is from RNAcentral. Lineage: Bacteria; Pseudomonadati; Pseudomonadota; Gammaproteobacteria.
GGAGUCGGUCAGGCAAUCGCUACAAGCAUCCGGCUUGGAGAGGAAAGUCCGGGCUCCUUCGGACAAGGCGCCAGGUAACGCCUGGGGGGCGCGAGCCCAUGGAAAGUGCCACAGAAAAUAUACCGCCAGCCCCGUCAUGGGGCCGGUAAGGGUGAAAAGGUGCGGUAAGAGCGCACCGCGCGACUGGUAACAGAUCGCGGCACGGUAAACCCCGCCUGGAGCAAGACCAAAUAGGGGAGUAGCAGCAUAGCUGCGCCGCCGGUUCCGAGCGGACUCCCGGGUAGGUCGCUAGAGGCAGUCGGUGACGGCUGUCCCAGAUGAAUGGUUGUCGAUGACAGAACCCGGCUUAUUGCUGGCUCCUGCC